Non-coding RNA from Salvelinus sp. IW2-2015, 257 nucleotides. Lineage: Eukaryota; Metazoa; Chordata; Actinopteri; Salmoniformes; Salmonidae. The record is from RefSeq and is a predicted model, not a curated record.
GUUUCUCUCCACAGCAUUCAGUCUGGUUUAGUUGCAACACUAAUGCAUGUUCUCUCUCAGGUGACGGAGUAUCUCAACGGUCAGGAGUCUGCCAAGACUGCCAGGCUCAACAUCUGGCGCUACGGAGACUUUCCGCGACGAUGACGCAGACGAUUUGGCUACAAACUAAAAAAGUGAAAAACGCACGGCGCCAUUCCAAAGACCAACGCGGAAGACGAGAUGCACUCAUUGGAGAGAAAAAGUGACAGGAAACAAUU